AAUAUUGGACAAUGGGGGCAACCCUGAUCCAGCCAUGCCGCGUGUGUGAAGAAGGUCUUCGGAUUGUAAAGCACUUUAAGUUGGGAGGAAGGGCUUUAGGCUAAUACCCUGAAGUUUUGACGUUACCAACAGAAUAAGCACCGGCUAACUUCGUGCCAGCAGCCGCGGUAAUACGAAGGGUGCAAGCGUUAAUCGGAAUUACUGGGCGUAAAGCGCGCGUAGGUGGUUCGUUAAGUUGGAAGUGAAAGCCCCGGGCUUAACCUGGGAAUUGCUUUCAAAACUGACGAGCUAGAGUACGGUAGAGGGUAGUGGAAUUUCCUGUGUAGCGGUGAAAUGCGUAGAUAUGUGGAGGAAUACCGAUGGCGAAGGCAGCCCCCUGGGAUAAUACUGACGCUCAGACACGAAAGCGUGGGGAGCAAAUAGG
Molecule: ribosomal RNA, 424 nt
Filed under: uncultured bacterium
Lineage: Bacteria
Description: partial 16S ribosomal RNA
Rfam family: Bacterial small subunit ribosomal RNA
Source: RNAcentral